AAAUGAACAGACACUUCUCAAAAGAAGAAAUAUGAAUGGACAUUCACUAUAUAAUGACUAUGCAUGUGUCCCCAGACAUAGUUCUUUCCCUGGGUCUGAUUUUAUAAAUGCUGGUGAUAAAC
Molecule: small nucleolar RNA, 122 nt
Organism: Marmota marmota marmota (Alpine marmot)
Lineage: Eukaryota; Metazoa; Chordata; Mammalia; Rodentia; Sciuridae
Gene: SNORA72
Rfam family: Small nucleolar RNA SNORA72
About the family: U72 is a member of the H/ACA class of snoRNAs. The snoRNA gene is located in intron 4 of the ribosomal L30 protein gene in human, mouse and chicken.
Source: Ensembl